RNAcentral lists this ribosomal RNA (254 nucleotides) under uncultured bacterium. RNAcentral's name for it is "partial 16S ribosomal RNA". It matches the Rfam family "Bacterial small subunit ribosomal RNA", at positions 524 to 777 of the family's 1533-position model. The record is from RNAcentral.
UACGUAGGGUGCAAGCGUUACUCGGAAUUACUGGGCGUAAAGGGUGCGUAGGUGGUUUGUUAAGUCUGCUGUGAAAUCCCCGGGCUCAACCUGGGAAUGGCAGUGGAUACUGGCAAGCUAGAGUGCGGUAGAGGGUAGUGGAAUUCCCGGUGUAGCAGUGAAAUGCGUAGAGAUCGGGAGGAACACCAGUGGCGAAGGCGGCUACCUGGACCAGCACUGACACUGAAGCACGAAAGCGUGGGGAGCAAACAGGG